UUACUUAAAAUAUUAUCUAAAUUAUAAUAAUAAUAAUUAAUAAUUAAUAAAGAGAGGUUACUUUCUAAAAAAAAUAAUGAAGUAAAAACCCUCUUAACCAAAUCAAAACAAAAAAUAAAACUUGGCCCAUUUGGCCCAUAUUCCAACCCUAAUUAUUUUUCCUGCAAUGCAACCCUUCCUCAAGCCGUCGCCGCUGCCUUCCCUCUUAGAAGAAGACAGAUCUGCAGAUGUCGGGGAAGACAGAGCCACUGUCAGAGAGGAUAGAUCGGCGGAGAUUCGCCGGAGAGGAGAGGAGACUCGCGGAGGUGUCGCGCGGAGAGGAAAGGAGACGCGCGGAGGUGUCGCGCGAAGGAGGUGAGGCGCGAAGGAGGAGAGCCGUGAAAGAGGCGCUGCGGAGGUCUGGAGUGGAGAGGAGAGUAGGAGAGGUCUGGUCUGGAGUGAAAGUGCCCUAACACACAACACAAAACGUGCGUUUUGUGUAAGUGGAAAAAAAAACGGUGAUCUCUUAAUAUCGGAGGUAGUCUUGCGAGUUUACACGAGUUUACCUGAGUUCACCGAGAUUGCUCCGAGUUCACUAAAAAACGAGUUUACCUCCGAGUUGUACAGGUAAGCUCUUGUAAACUCGUACGAGUUUACGAGUUAUCACUAGAGAUUGACAACCAUGCUUACCAAUGUUUAGUUACUCAAAUGGACAUUCUCGCUUCUACUUCAUCCGCUAGCAUAGGUCCUUCUACAUUCUCGCUUCCACUUCGUCCACCACUACCUGCCAGCCCAUGAAGUUGACUAUUUUCUGUACCAAGGAUAACUUCCUUUGUGGAAACUGCAUUGAAAAGGUUUAAUCAAAACCUCAAACAGAAAUGAAUAUGAGAAAGUCUUGGUUGUAAAUAAAUCAACCAGCAAUGGGCAUAAACCAAAUAAGUAACCAACUAACUACCUUCGAUUAUCUGUUGCUUGUUCCAUGGAACAGCAUUUACAAUAAGACCUUCAGCUUGCUCAAAAUUCGUGGCUUGGUUCAUUUGGCAUGUAUAGAAAGUUUCAGCACCUCCAGGACCAAUUACAGUGGCAAUACAGUGACUCCCUCUAGGAUCCACAAAAACCCUAUGAAUUGACUGGUCCCCAGGACGACCCAUAGUGAGAUCAAUCUCUAUACUCCAAACAGACAACAAGAUAUCAGACUCAGGAUAUCAAAACAAAAGAAACAGCUACAAAUCCCAGAUUAAGCUCAAGCAUACACGACUAUCAAGAACUCUAAAACAAAACAUUCAAACAGUGAUCCGUAUUCUAUACCUGUGUUGAAUUACAAUUAAACCCCGAGAUUGACAUUCAAAAUAUAAAAAAGUUCCUAAAUUUGAAACACCCAUAUGAAUGGGAUGUCAAAUGGCAAUUCAUGGAAAAUGCGUAUUGUUGUUGAAGGAAUAGAAAGCUGAAAAAUUGAAACUUUACCAAAUGAAUUGCCAACCCCAAAAUCAUGCCUGAUGACCCAUCCUCUGCUGGUUCCAAUGACAAUGACAUCAUUCCCAGCAGCCAUGCAAGUGAUAACUCCAUGCCCUUUUGCCGCAUAUCGUUCCAGAAGGUCCACUGUGAAUACCUGCCUCCCUUGAUCCAUCUAUCAAUUUUUAUUUUUAUUU
Non-coding RNA from Cajanus cajan (pigeon pea), 1628 nucleotides. The record is from RefSeq and is a predicted model, not a curated record. Lineage: Eukaryota; Viridiplantae; Streptophyta; Magnoliopsida; Fabales; Fabaceae.